RNAcentral lists this long non-coding RNA (1079 nucleotides) under Struthio camelus australis. RNAcentral describes it as "lncRNA (ENSSCUG00000009207.1)". The record is from RNAcentral. Lineage: Eukaryota; Metazoa; Chordata; Aves; Struthioniformes; Struthionidae.
GGGGCCGGGCCUGGGGUGGGGGGGUGGCUUGCAGCGGCUGCCGGGCUGGGCCCAGACACCUGGGCCCCGCGGGGAGCCGGCCCGGCCCGCCCUGCCUCAGUUUCCCCACACAGGCAGCCCCAGCCCCACAGAGGGCUUGGGGGGGGUUAGCACCGUUUUGGGGUGUUUCCCACCCCUCCUCAGCCCCUGCAGCGACGGGGUCUGUCCUUGCCUCUUUCUCCCUUUCUUUCCUUGUGUUUUCCUCUCCUUUUCCUCUCCCCAGUCCUCUCUUCCUCCCUUUUGCCUUUUUAUUUCUCUCCUUUUCAGCACGUCUCCCUUCUCGUCCCUUUCUUUUCCUUUUCCCUUGCCUCCAUCCCUCCUAGGCUGUCCUGCCUUUUUCUCUUCCUCCUUCCCUCCCUCUGCCUUCCUCCUCCAUCUCCUCUUCUCUCUAGUCCAUUUACUUUCCCUUCCUUUUUCCUCCCUUCUUUUUCCUUCCCUUUUUCUUUUCCUUUUCCUUAUUGCUUCUUCUCUCUUGCCUCCUUUUCAUCUUUGCUCUCCUCUUUUCUCCCAUCCAGCCACUUUCUUUUCUCCCCCUUUCUUCCCUUUUCUUCCUUCUUUCCCUUCUCUCCUCCCUCCUUCUUCCAUCCCCUCGAUUUAGUCUUUCCUUCAUCUUUGAUCUUUGCCCUUUGUGUCCUCUUCUCUUCUCUUCUCUUCUCUUCUCUUCUCUUCUCUUCUCUUCUCUUCUCUUCUCUUCUCUUCUCUUCUCUUCUCCUCCCUUCCCUUUUCCAUCCUUUUUUCUUUUCCUCUUCCUGUCUUUUCCUUUCCAUUUCCUUCCUUUCCUUUCCUUUUUCAAAAAAAAAUUUCCCUUUCACUUCUUCCCUUUCCCUUUCCCCUUUCCUCCACUUUUUUGUCUUUUCAUUUUCUUUUUCUUGUUCUUUUUCUUGUUCCUUUUGCUUUUCUCUUUCUCCUUUCAUCUUUUUCUCUUUUCCCUUUUCCUUUUCCCUUUCCUCCUUCUUCUUCCCCUUUUUUCUUUUUUUUUUUUUGCUUUUCCUUCUUUUUCCCUUUCCUUUCUUUUUCCUUUUCUUUCCCCCCACUUUCCC